Macadamia integrifolia is the source of this 3433-nucleotide RNA transcript. RefSeq lists it as uncharacterized. The transcript is spliced from 4 exons. NCBI's taxonomy places the organism in Eukaryota, Viridiplantae, Streptophyta, Magnoliopsida, Proteales, Proteaceae. The record is from RefSeq and is a predicted model, not a curated record.
GUAAAGAAGAGAGAGAGAAGAAAGAAGAAACGAAAAAGAAGAAGAAGAAGAAAGAAGAAGGGAAACUGACCAUAGAGUUUCACAGCAGCCAGGUCUUGGUAUUUUAAACUCAGAUUGAUGAUCAGCUCACCGGGAUCUUCGAUUUGAGGAUUUGGAAGGAGUAUUGGUGAAGAUCUAGAGUUUUGAGAGUUCUUGAGCUAAAGAAGUGAAAUUUGGGAUUUCAUUGGUGUUCUUGAGAAAGGGGUUACACUCAUUAUACGCGUACCCACACAUUAGAUCUCUUACGUACCGGGUGCAGGCACUAUGUACUUAUACAAGUAAGUGGGGAGUGGACUUUGAUUUAAUUUUAGAAUGUUUAUGCAUCAGUUAACAUGUGUUAGUCUUGCCAUGUCAUCAUGUCACUUGUGUGUAGACUAGACAUCAUGUAUGCCAUAUCAUGCAUUUAAUGUGCAUUUACAUAAUAUGCUAUGCUCUGUGUUAUGUUUGAAUAUUCAUUAUGUCUUGAUGUAUGUGAUAGAGGAAUCUCAUUUGGACAUGAUAUGCAUGCUAGAUUAGAUGCCAUAGUCGGCUUGAAAAUAAGUGCAUGGUGGCUCGUGGAAUGAGACGCGGUGCCAUCGUGUAAUCGUACUAUACUUAUAUAGAGGUAUACGGUUAGGAUUGAUAUACCCCUUUAUGCUACGACCCUUCCCAACAGGGGUUUAUGUGUUGGGUUACCAUUGGGGGGAAGCAUUGGGUUACGUUGUUGAACUCUUGCAGAGGUUAGAAGUACGCACGGCUGAUCGCUAGGAUAGUUAGCAACCCCGGUGGUAUAUUCAGAGUGCCGAUUGUACUGCUUUUAUUUUAGAUGGAGUCACCCAUUUACUUUCUGUCAUUUAAAUUUUCCAGGAGUCAGCUUGCAUUUUAAAUUUUGGUACAAAUGGUGGGCCUUCUCCUACAACCCUAUGGGCAUAUCGCUGGAUGGGGUCCACGGCUCGUACCUAGGGCUUACGCGUACUGUGGUUGUGAGUAGCACAUAGCCUAUGACCUAGUAAUGUUGUUUAGGUGAUAGGAUUAAAAUGAAUUGCAUACAUAUAGGUGCAUUUGUAUUGUGACUGCCUAUGUGGUCUUCCUUUCCACUUACUGGGUUAGUGAGCUCAUCCCACAUGCAGAACUCUUUUAGUGAUUUUGCAGGUUACCUGCCUGAAGAUUAAGAGCCGGGUCCCACUGUGGAGUUUUUCUUUGAUGAUUAGUGGGUCCUUAUGGAGUUUGAACACGGUACUGAUUACACGUGUGAGGAUUGUGCUGCAUGGCAGACUUUGAUGUUAUACUAGGCAUGGAUUGGUUAUCAGCACAUCAAGCAAGCGUGAUGUGUGCCAAGAAACAGAUCAAGGUGAUCGAUGAUGAAGGGAAGGAACUGAUAUACCAAGCGGAUAUAAUAAAGCAGGCUAAAAGGGUCCUCAUCUCCACUCUGCAAGCGAUGAAGUUGUUGGAAAAUGGGUGUCAGGGGUACCUAACAUCUAUGAUUGAUUUAUAUGUAGAGGUCACACCUCUAGAGGAAGUGGAGGCAGUUAAGGAGUUUCCAUAUGUCUUUCCAGAUGAUCUAACUCAACUACCAUCUGACAGGGAGCUGGAAUUUGCUGUAGAUUUGAUUCCUGGAGCUGCCCCAUUGUCCAAGGCUCCAUACAGAAUGGAACCAACAGAAUUAAAGGAAUUGUAAAUACAGUUGCAAGAUCUAUUGAAGAAGGGAUUCAUAUACCCAAGUGUAUUACCUUGGGGUGCUCCAGUGUUGUUUAUUAAGAAAAAAAAGAUGGGAGCUUACGUAUAUGCAUUGAUUACUGAGAAUUGAACAAGUUAACCAUCAAGAAUCGGUAUCCAUUGCCACGCAUAGAUGAUCUGUUUGAUCAGCUACAGGGUGCUAAGGUAUUUUCAAAGAUUGACCUCAGAUUCGGGUAUUAUCAGCUUAUGAUAAAGAAUAGUGAUAUACCAAAGAUAGCCUUUAGAACUCGGUACGGUCAUUAUGAGUUCUUAGUAUUGUCUUUUGGGUUGACCAAUGCACCAACAACUUUCAUGGAUUUGAUGAACCGAGUGUUUCAAGAUGUUCUCGAUAAGUGGGUCAUUGUUUUCAUUGAUGAUAUCUUAAUCUACUCGAAGUCAGAAGAAGACCAUGCAAAACACUUGAGGAUGGUACUACAAAGACUAAGAGAGCAAUAGUUGUAUGAGAAAUUCAGCAAGUGUGAAUUUUAUCUCAAAUAGGUUGUAUUCCUAAGACACGUGGUGUCUGAAAAUGGAAUAGAAAUGAAUCCGGAUAAGGUGAAAGCCGUAGUAGACUGGGAGAUACCCAAGAGUGUAAUAGAAAUUAGAAGUUUAUUGGGUUUGGCAGGUUACUAUAGAUGCUACAUCGAGAACUUUUCUCAGAUUUCAACGCCAAUGACUAAGUUGACUAGGAAGGGUAUAAAGUUUGAUUGGUCAAAGGAGUGUGAAGAUAGUUUUCAAGAGCUGAAGAAGUGGGUAGUGUCAGCACCAAUGCUGCCUAUUCUUGAAGGCAUAGGUGGGAUGACAGUCUAUACUAAUGCUUCCAAAAUUAGAUUAGGUUGUGUACUUAUGCAACGUGGCAAGAUAAUAGCAUAUGCAUCUAGACAGUUGAAGGACUAUGAGAAUAACUACCCUACACAUGACUUGGAGCUAGCAGCGGUCAUUUUUGCCUUAAAGAUUUGGUGUCACUACUUGUAUGGGGAAAGGUGUGAGAUAUUCAGUGACCACAAAAGUCUAAAGUACUUUUUCACUCAAAAAGACUUGAAUAUGAGACAAAGGAGAUGGCUUAAGCUUAUGAAAGACUAUGAUUGUGAUAUUCAGUAUCACCCAGGGAAGGCUAAUGUAGUGGCAAAUGCAUUAAGCCAGAAAGCUCAACUGUAUCACUUGCCUAUCUAGCUGUUAGUCCAGAGCUCGUACAAGAGGCGAUGUUAAUGGAUGAAAUCCCAUUGUAUAAAGGAGCGACCUUGGAACUAGAGCACUAGUUAGAUGAUGUCCUACAGUUGACCAUGUCCUUGGCAGCUCUACAGGUACACUCUUCCAUCAGGGAAGAAAUCAUAAUGAAACAGCCUUUGGAUCCUGAGUUAAAACAAAUGAAAGAGGAGAUUCAAGAGCAAACAAUGAAUGACACUAGCUUUACAUUAGCCAAUGAUGGGCACUAUUGUUUUGGGGCAGAUUGUGUGUGCCCUGUGAUGAGGUGAUAUAAGACAAAAUAGUAAAAGAAGCACACAGUUCUAAGUACUCUCUUCACCCUGAAAGUACCAAGAUGUACAAAGACCUAAAGCAACACUACUGAUGGCCAGCAAUGAAGUCCACAAUAGUUUUGUAUGUGUCGAAUUGCCUUGCAUGUCAGAAAAUCAAAGCUAAACGACACCGACCUUUUGGCACUCUUCAACCACUCCCAAUACCCAAGUAGAAGUGGGAU